CCAAUAGCGUAUAUUAAAGUUGUUGCAGUUAAAAAGCUCGUAGUUGAAUUUCGGGAUCAGAUUGUUGGUCGUGCCUCGGUACGUACUGGCAUUAUUGGUUCCUACCUUCUGAAGAACCGCGAUGUCAUUAAUUUGGUGUCGUGGGGAAUCAGGACUGUUACUUUGAAAAAAUUAGAGUGUUUAAAGCAGGCGCACGCUUGAAUACAUUAG
RNAcentral lists this ribosomal RNA (210 nucleotides) under uncultured Glomus. Its description in RNAcentral is "partial small subunit ribosomal RNA". It matches the Rfam family "Eukaryotic small subunit ribosomal RNA", at positions 591 to 807 of the family's 1831-position model. The record is from RNAcentral. Lineage: Eukaryota; Fungi; Glomeromycota; Glomeromycetes; Glomerales; Glomeraceae.